UUCUGGGAGUUGCGAGUCGUCACGGUGUCUGCGUGGGGGGCGGAAAGGGCUGUGGGUUCGGGGUCGGCGGCGAAGGAUGCUCGAGCGCCGCGGGAAGGCACCUGUGCGCGGGGCUAAGCGGGAUUCACCGGCCUCGUCCCACAGCGGGUCGGGCCUUGUGUAAAAGAUGAUGACAGCAGCUAGGCCAACUUUUGAAGCUGCAAGAGGCGGAAGAGGAAAAGGAGAAGGUGAUUUGAGCCAACUCUCAAAGCAGCAUUCAAGUAGAGACCUGCCUUCUCCUACAAAGAUCAAAUACAGACAAGCUUCCAAGUGUCUUUGAAAGAGAGAGCAGCUUUUAAGUGAGUGAAGAAGUCAACUCACCCUAUGGAAAGCUGGGCCAAACAGUGCUUCCUGAUGAAUAAAAGAACAGCUAAAUUGAUACAGACUGGUGAUAAUAAAAGUUAAAUUAGGUGUAUUACUGUUAUGUACUCAGUGUUGUGCCUCCUUCCCCCAUUCUUAUAUUGAAAUCUUAACUCCCAAUGUGAUGGCAUUUGAAGGUAGGGCCUUUGGGAAAUAAGUCCUUCCUCUGGGAAUUAAUUAGGAAUUUGUGUCCUAAUGAAAAGGGACCCCAGAAAGUGUUCUUAAUCUCUUUUCACCAUGUGAGGAUACCAGAAGUUGGCAGUCUACAACCAACAACCACACAAGCACCACGAUCUCGGACUCCCAGCCUCCAGAGCUGUGAGAAAUAAAUUUGUGUUUAUAAGCUCACUGGUCUGUAUUCUAUUAUAGCAGCCGGAACUGAAAAAGACAAGCCUCUUACUGUAAUAAACUAAACAAUGAAAAACAUUAUUUGAGGGUGACUAACGGCUGUUCUUAUGGUUCAAAUGUUUAAUUCCAUAGGUUUGAAUGUGGAAAGCAUCACUUUCAAAACAAUGUCAGAAUAGUUAUCUUUAUUUUUAUCCUCGUAAAUGUACUCACGAUAGCUUUACUCAGUUGUCCUUGCUCCUGGCUUAGCUUCCUUAGAUUCUGAGUACAUUAUUGUUCCCAUAUGAAUUAGAACAAAUACAUUCCAGUAAUAAAUACUUAUCUCAAAAGUAAAAUAAUUUUGGAAAAAGCAAUAGGCUUUUGUAAGUUCUUAUAAGCCGUGUAAAAAUAGAAAAGGAGGACCAGGUUAUGAUAAAGGAAAUUUCUAAAUUCUUAAGACCCAAACAGCUUUUGCUCACUUCAGGUUUCUGUUCUCAGGGAGUUGGGGAUUCUGUAAAUCAGGACAUUUUGAUGCAUAAAUCUGAUCAGAAAGAAUAAUAUGCCUAAUUCAAAGAGAAGUUUAUUUUGAAAGUUUCUUCUCAAACAAGAGCAAGAUCUUGGACUUGCAGGGAAUUCCAGGGCCUUGCCAUGCAUUAUGUUUGCAGCAAAUAUAAGGAAAAUGUAGUACAGAGUUUAAAUAUUAAAAUUUAACCCUGACCAAUUAAAUUUGUUUAAUAUUUGUCCUUCAGUAAAAGUAUUAUGGGUUCCUAUAUAAAAUGCAGAAAUAUCCCUAUUUCUAUGGAAGGAAACUUUAGGGUUUUUGUAAGUUAGAAAGUAAAUGUUGUAUAAGGAAUAUGGAAAAUAUUAAAAGGACAAAAAUAAAUACUCUAAUUCUACCAUUCUGGAAUAACUUGUUAACAUUUUAGAAUUUCUGUCAAUCUUUUGGCUAUCUGGUUUCUCUCUUGAAUAAAAGUGAAUGUAUAUUGUU
Manis javanica (Malayan pangolin) is the source of this 1711-nucleotide non-coding RNA. Lineage: Eukaryota; Metazoa; Chordata; Mammalia; Pholidota; Manidae. The record is from RefSeq and is a predicted model, not a curated record.